RNAcentral lists this ribosomal RNA (301 nucleotides) under uncultured bacterium. RNAcentral describes it as "partial 16S ribosomal RNA". It matches the Rfam family "Bacterial small subunit ribosomal RNA", at positions 509 to 807 of the family's 1533-position model. The record is from RNAcentral.
CAGCAGCCGCGGGAAUACGUAGGUGGCAAGCGUUGUCCGGAAUUAUUGGGCGUAAAGGGCUCGCAGGCGGUUUCUUAAGUCUGAUGUGAAAGCCCCCGGCUCAACCGGGGAGGGUCAUUGGAAACUGGGAAACUUGGGUGCAGAAGAGGAGAGUGGAAUUCCACGUGUAGCGGUGAAAUGCGUAGAGAUGUGGAGGAACACCAGUGGCGAAGGCGACUCUCCGGUCUGUAACUGACGCUGAGGAGCGAAAGCGUGGGGAGCGAACAGGAUUAGAUACCCCUGUAGUCCCUGUCUCUUAUAC